This 610-nucleotide ribosomal RNA is filed under the name uncultured bacterium. RNAcentral's name for it is "bacterial SSU rRNA". It matches the Rfam family "Bacterial small subunit ribosomal RNA", at positions 35 to 677 of the family's 1533-position model. The record is from RNAcentral.
GCUGGCGGCGUGCCUAACACAUGCAAGUCGAACGAGAAAGUGGAGCAAUCCAUGAGUACAGUGGCGUACGGGUGAGUAACACGUGACUAACCUACCCUCGAGUGGGGAAUAACUUCGGGAAACCGAGGCUAAUACCGCAUAAUGUCUACGGACCAAAUGCGCAAGCAGCUUGAGGAGGGGGUCGCGGCUGAUUAGCUUGUUGGCGGGGUAACGGCCCACCAAGGCAAUGAUCAGUAGCCGGCCUGAGAGGGCGCACGGCCACACUGGAACUGAAACACGGUCCAGACUCCUACGGGAGGCAGCAGUGGGGAAUUUUGCGCAAUGGGGGAAACCCUGACGCAGCAACGCCGCGUGGAGGAUGAAGCCCCUUGGGGUGUAAACUCCUUUCGAUCGGGACGAUUAUGACGGUACCGGAUGAAGAAGCACCGGCUAACUCUGUGCCAGCAGCCGCGGUAAUACGGAGGGUGCAAGCGUUGUUCGGAAUUAUUGGGCGUAAAGGGUGCGUAGGCGGUACGGUAAGUCUUCUGUGAAACCUCCGGGCUUAACUCGGAGCCUGCAGGGGAAACUGCCGUGCUGGAGUAUGGGAGAGGUGAGUGGAAUUCCCGGUGUA